Molecule: non-coding RNA, 2307 nt
Organism: Peromyscus maniculatus bairdii (prairie deer mouse)
Lineage: Eukaryota; Metazoa; Chordata; Mammalia; Rodentia; Cricetidae
Source: RefSeq, a predicted model, not a curated record
GAGACCCUUUGUGACAUAAGAUGAGAAGCCAGGAAGCCUCUUUCCAGUCCCUGACAAAUGUGGACCGGGGUCUCGAGGAUGGAGUUGGACCAGACCUUCUCACCUUGGUAGUAGUGGGUAUUACAUUGGAAGAUUGCCAACGAAGCAGCUGAGUGGCUCAUAGAGGAUAAAGCAGUAGUAAGCCUACAGCCCAGGAAGAUUUGGGGGUCACUGCCCAUAGCAUUGACCGGGCUUGAAUCUCGCACCCUACCCCACGCCACACUGCCUUGGGGGCAUCGUGGACCUUCUCCAGCCACCUUUGUUUCAUGGGGUGCUGAGGAUGGAUUCUCAGACAGCAUUGAGCGCACUGGAGACUGAAGUCGCUGAAGACAUGAGACACACGUGAAAGGUGCUGCCACAUGUCCCAGCUCCGGGAUGGCCAGGCCCCGGCUGAAGCUUUGUUACUUCUCCCAACCCUGUUUCCAUUCAACCAGGCUCCUGUAGUGCACAGGGUUCAGCGGGCAUUUUAAAGACUUCGACAUUCAAGCACACAGGUUUCGAAUGGACACAGUUGUGAAGAGUGGAAUUGUCCAUAUUCGUGGCCAACGGCUUGGCUCCACGUUAUGGGAGGAAGCUGGGCUCCAGCUGACAGAUCCCCAAAGGGAAGAUCUUACUUACAAGCAGCACAUCUGGCUCAUUCUGCAGUUGUUGAUCUGAACAUGGGGGCUUAAUGGAUUUCAUCUACAGCCAGCCACCCUCGGUGUUUUGUUUUUCUUUUCUUUUGGUUUUUCAAGACAGGGUUCCUCUGUGUAGACCUGGCUGUCCUGGAUCUCCCUCUGUAGACCAGGCUGGCCUCCAACUCUGAGAUCCACCUGCUUCUGCCUCCCAAGUGCUGGGAUCAAAGGUAUGUGCCAUCCCACCUGGCUUCACACCUGAUAUUUACUAAGGCUUUGUUGCCCUGGUGCCCAAGUUUCUGAGAUGAACUCAUAGCAACCCACGUGCCAUCUAGGUCUGUCUUCUUUCAGUGGUCAUCAAGAAUGCAAGAGACUGGUGCUUCUUGGGGUUUCUUCAUCCCUGCGAGGAUGCCAUACCCAGGCAGCCUAUGACCCACUCAAUAACUGGCUGUGUGAGCUCUGUGAUUCCUCUGUUCCAGCCUUUCUGCUCAGCUCCAUUAGGAGGCAGAGAGGUGGUGUGUCGCCACUGGUACUAAAGUCAUCCUUUCUGGGCUCCUCUGCUGCCACCUGCCCCUAACCACAAUCUAAUCAGCAUCCAGCAGAGUGUGAUGACACACCGGACUUUCUCAGUGACAGCGUAAUGAAAGGGGGCCUUAACUCCUCUUCUUGUUUUCCCCAUCUAUCCCCUAACUUCGACUCCACCCAGUGUGAACUCACUCUGAUAAAUGAUACCGUUUGCUCUCUCCAUCCCUGGCCUGUUGAGAUCUGGAAACAAUUGGUUUGUCUGACACUUACUUCCACAGCUGAACUUGUCCAAAUCAAACCGUGGUCUCUCGUGCUUUCUUGGCUGUUUGCUUUAAGUCUGAAAUGGGCCCUGGCCUCACCAUCUCCCUCCAUCCUGUGUAUUUUGUUUGUUUUACAUGGGAGCGUGCCAAUAUAAAAUAAAAUGUCCAGUGAGGGCUCUGAAUAGCCUAGAGGAAAAGGGGAGGAAAGAUCCAAGAGGCCAGGGAAGAAGGAUUGGCUCUCUUGGAAACUUCUGCCUAACAGGGCCUUGCUAGCCAAUGGCCCAGGCCGGAUGUCUGUGGAGCCAUGGUCUAAAUGGGCCUCAUGUUCCUAGCAACCUGUUUUAUGAAAUAUAGCCCCUCCCCCAAUGGCCACAAGUUCUUUAAUAAUCUUUUCCUUUAAGAUUUAAAAAAAAACAAUCUUUAGUUUGUUUCAUGGUAAAAUAUAGUUCAAUUAUUUCCAAAUGUACAGUUUGUUGACAUUAAGUACAUUCAUACAAAAUAAGACCCAAUUGCACAUCAUGUAGCAAUCAACCCUAUUUUUAGAACUUUCUUGUGCCAAUGGAAACUUUGAACCUAUUUAAAAAGAACACCCCCACCCCCGACCCCCGCCUCUCCUUCACCUGUAGCUUCUGUUCUCUCUCUGUGAAGCUGUGUGUUUUGGUGCCGAGACUGGGUUUGGAAGCCUGGCUUCUUUGACCGAAAACCAAAGCCUUAUGGGCUGCUCUUAGGUUCUGGAUAACACAGUGGACGGUGGGACGGAUCCUUGAACAAUCAGGAAAUAGCCAUGAUUCACCUGAGUUACUCAUGCAGCUGCCAGCAAAACCUUGCAUCAUCUUCAUGUCGUGCGAGCCUUCUAGAAGCUUUUCUUC